GGGGGUGACUGGUUUCGACAGGGUGGGUCUGAGAUGGGCAGCAGGCCGUGGUCUCCUCGCCACGUUAAACAGGGGUACCGUCAAAUUGAAUUGACGACGAUUACUCUUUUGAGGGCCUUGCCCUCGCUGCUUAAUUAAAUAGCAGCCGCCGAAGCGGGGAUCGCUCCCGUUCCCGUGGACGCGUCAUAUCAGGGAGAUGCUCCGAUGGACGUCGUUGGUAUGCCUGAGGAUAAGAUCGAACCAGCUAGGACGCUGAGUGCGGGUCGCCAGGUGCGAUGCGUCCGAAAUCCAAUUGGCGACUGAGCCUGGAGACACCUGUCAGGGAUUUGCUUUGGACCGGAGUUCGAUUCUCCGCACCUCCACCA
RNAcentral lists this transfer-messenger RNA (365 nucleotides) under Atopobiaceae. RNAcentral describes it as "UBA1367 sp902772435 Standard tmRNA". It matches the Rfam family "transfer-messenger RNA". Rfam says of the family: Bacterial tmRNA, also known as 10Sa RNA or SsrA, is named for its dual tRNA and mRNA-like properties. Its role is to liberate the mRNA from a stalled ribosome. Lineage: Bacteria; Bacillati; Actinomycetota; Coriobacteriia; Coriobacteriales. The record is from RNAcentral. RNAcentral also lists the same sequence under 1 other name.